This 301-nucleotide ribosomal RNA is filed under the name uncultured bacterium. Its description in RNAcentral is "partial 16S ribosomal RNA". It matches the Rfam family "Bacterial small subunit ribosomal RNA", at positions 509 to 807 of the family's 1533-position model. The record is from RNAcentral.
CAGCAGCCGCGGUAAUACGAAGGGUGCAAGCGUUAAUCGGAAUUACUGGGCGUAAAGCGUGCGUAGGCGGUGAGUUAAGUCUGCUGUGAAAUCCCCGGGCUCAACCUGGGAAUGGCAGUGGAUACUGGCUCGCUAGAGUGUGUCAGAGGAUGGUGGAAUUCCCGGUGUAGCGGUGAAAUGCGUAGAGAUCGGGAGGAACAUCAGUGGCGAAGGCGGCCAUUUGGGACAACACUGACGCUGAGGCACGAAAGCGUGGGGAGCAAACAGGAUUAGAUACCCGAGUAGUCCCUGUCUCUUAUAC